RNAcentral lists this ribosomal RNA (1420 nucleotides) under uncultured bacterium. Its description in RNAcentral is "16S ribosomal RNA". It matches the Rfam family "Bacterial small subunit ribosomal RNA". The record is from RNAcentral.
AGAGUUUGAUCCUGGCUCAGGAUGAACGCUGGCUGUGUGCCUAAUACAUGCAUGUCGAGCGGAAGUAGCAAUACUUUAGCGGCGAAUGGGUGAGUAACACGUGCUUAAUCUACCUCUUAGAUUGGAAUACCUAAUGGAAACAUUGGUUAAUGCCGGAUACGCAUGGAGUCGCAUGACUCCGUUGUGAAAGGGGCCUUUAAAGCUCCACUAAGAGAUGAGGGUGCGGAACAUUAGCUAGUUGGUGAGGUAACGGCCCACCAAGGCUAUGAUGUUUAGCCGGGUCGAGAGACUGAACGGCCACAUUGGGACUGAGAUACGGCCCAAACUCCUACGGGAGGCAGCAGUAGGGAAUAUUCCACAAUGAGCGAAAGCUUGAUGGAGCGACACAGCGUGCACGAUGAAGGUCUUAUGGAUUGUAAAGUGCUGUUGCAAGGGAAGAAAAAGUAGUUGAGGAAAUGCUUCUACAUUGACGGUACCUUGUUAGAAAGCGAUGGCUAACUAUGUGCCAGCAGCCGCGGUAAUACAUAGGUCGCAAGCGUUAUCCGGAAUUAUUGGGCGUAAAGCGUUCGUAGGCUGUUUAUUAAGUCUGGAGUCAAAUCCCAGGGCUCAACCCUGGCUCGCUUUGGAUACUGGUAAACUAGAGUUGGAUAGAGGUAAGCGGAAUUCCAUGUGAAGCGGUGAAAUGCGUAGAUAUAUGGAAGAACACCAAAGGCGAAGGCAGCUUACUGGGUUUAUACUGACGCUGAGGAACGAAAGCGUGGGAGCAAACAGGAUUAGAUACCCUGGUAGUCCACGCCGUAAACGAUGAUCAUUAGUCGGCAGAGAACUGUUGACGCAGCUAACGCAUUAAAUGAUCCGCCUGAGUAGUAUGCUCGCAAGAGUAAAACUUAAAGGAAUUGACGGGGACCCGCACAAGCGGUGGAGCAUGUGGUUUAAUUUGAAGAUACGCGGAGAACCUUACCCACUCUUGACAUCCUUCGCAAAGCUAUAGAGAUAUAGUGGAGGUUAACGGAGUGACAGAUGGUGCAUGGUUGUCGUCAGCUCGUGUCGUGAGAUGUUUGGUCAAGUCCUGCAACGAGCGCAACCCCUAUCUUUAGUUACUAACGAGUCAUGUCGAGGACUCUAGAGAUACUGCCUGGGUAACUGGGAGGAAGGUGGGGAUGACGUCAAAUCAUCAUGCCUCUUACGAGUGGGGCAACACACGUGCUACAAUGGUCGGUACAAAGAGAAGCAAUAUGGUGACAUGGAGCAAAUCUCAAAAAGCCGAUCUCAGUUCGGAUUGAAGUCUGCAAUUCGACUUCAUGAAGUCGGAAUCGCUAGUAAUCGCAGAUCAGCUAUGCUGCGGUGAAUACGUUCUCGGGUCUUGUACACACCGCCCGUCACACCAUGGGAGCUGGUAAUACCCAAAGUCGGUUUGCUA